This 253-nucleotide ribosomal RNA is filed under the name uncultured bacterium. RNAcentral describes it as "partial 16S ribosomal RNA". It matches the Rfam family "Bacterial small subunit ribosomal RNA", at positions 524 to 776 of the family's 1533-position model. The record is from RNAcentral.
UACGGAGGGAGCUAGCGUUGUUCGGAUCUACUGGGCGUAAAGCGCACGUAGGCGGCGCCGUAAGUCAGGGGUGAAAUCCCGGAGCUCAACUCCGGAACUGCCCUUGAAACUGCAGUGCUAGAAUCUUGGAGAGGCGAGUGGAAUUCCGAGUGUAGAGGUGAAAUUCGUAGAUAUUCGGAAGAACACCAGUGGCGAAGGCGACUCGCUGGACAAGUAUUGACGCUGAGGUGCGAAAGCGUGGGGAGCAAACAGG